UGUGUGGAGAGCAAGAUCUACCUCUGUACACUGUGCUCAGAAUCCCAUGAGCACUGUGCUCACACACACUGUGCCAUCGAAACCGCUGGUGAGAGCCAAAUGGAGAAACUUUUAAUAAAAAUGGCAUCAAUAUGGGAGAAGAUGGAAGAAAAUCAGCAGAACCUAGAGGAAGAGGAUAGUAUGAUAACUCAGUUCAGAGUGAGUAUGAGAUUCAGUCUUAAAAUCUGGUUGAUGCCGAUAUUUUUGAAAAAUUCUCAUUAAACAUUUUGGUAAAAGGCAUGGGACAUAUUACUAGGAUAUCAUGUUCUAC
This 310-nucleotide long non-coding RNA is filed under the name Cricetulus griseus (Chinese hamster). RNAcentral's name for it is "lncRNA (ENSCGRG00000025907.1)". Lineage: Eukaryota; Metazoa; Chordata; Mammalia; Rodentia; Cricetidae. The record is from RNAcentral.